GACGAACGCUGGCGGCGUGCUUAACACAUGCAAGUCGAGCGGUAAGGCCCUUUCGGGGGUACACGAGCGGCGAACGGGUGAGUAACACGUGGGUGACCUGCCCUCAGCUCUGGGAUAAGCCUGGGAAACCGGGUCUAAUACCGGAUAUGACUCCAUGACGCAUGUUGUGGGGUGGAAAGCCUUGUGCGGCUGAGGAUGGGCCCGCGGCCUAUCAGCUUGUUGGUGGGGUGANGGCCUACCAAGGCGACGACGGGUAGCCGGCCUGAGAGGGCGACCGGCAC
RNAcentral lists this ribosomal RNA (281 nucleotides) under uncultured bacterium. RNAcentral's name for it is "partial 16S ribosomal RNA". It matches the Rfam family "Bacterial small subunit ribosomal RNA", at positions 28 to 311 of the family's 1533-position model. The record is from RNAcentral.